Molecule: long non-coding RNA, 425 nt
Organism: Oncorhynchus keta (chum salmon)
Lineage: Eukaryota; Metazoa; Chordata; Actinopteri; Salmoniformes; Salmonidae
Exons: 3
Source: RefSeq, a predicted model, not a curated record
UGUGUGUGUGUGUAUUAUAGAUGUGUGUGUGUGUAUUAUAGAUGUGUGUGUGUGUGUGUAUUAUAGAUAUGUGUGUGUGUAUUAUAGAUGUGUGUGUGUGUAUUAUAGAUGUGUGUGUGUGUGUAUUAUAGAUGUGUGUGUGUGUGUUAUAGAUGUGUGUGUGUGUAUUAUAGAUAUGUGUGUGUGUGUAUUAUAGAUGUGUGUGUGUGUGUAUUAUAGAUGUGUGUGUGUAUUAUAGAUGUGUGUGUGUAUUAUAGAUGUGUGUGUGUGUAUUAUAGAUGUGUGUGUGUGUAUUAUAGAUGUGUGUGUGUAUUAUAGAUGUGUGUGUGUGUAUUAUAGAUGUGUGUGUGUGUAUUAUAGAUGUGUGUGUGUAUUAUAGAUGUAUUAUGUGUGUGUGUAUUAUAGAUGUGUGUGUGUAUUAUAGA